UCAUUCCGAACAGUCGCUUCAUUAGGCUCAACCUUUCCUUGGACAUCAACUUUAGUUUGUCUAGAGGGAAACAGCGCAGAUCAUCAACUAAGAUCUCCGAGUGUGUUAAGUGGGAAAGGAUGUGGAGCUGAACAGACAGAAGGGUAUGGGCGCUGAAGCAGCCGCCAACGAAAGGUGCGUGAUCGCUCACUGGUCGAGUGGCUUGGGCCAAAUUAUGUAACGGGGCUAAACACACCACCGAAGCUAGGAGUCCAUUUAUGGUAGGGGAGCGUUGUAUGCGGGUUGAAGGCUGAUCGUGAGGGCAGCUGGAUACAUACAAGUC
Molecule: non-coding RNA, 322 nt
Filed under: Paenibacillus mucilaginosus 3016
Lineage: Bacteria; Bacillati; Bacillota; Bacilli; Caryophanales; Paenibacillaceae
Description: Bacterial large subunit ribosomal RNA
Rfam family: Bacterial large subunit ribosomal RNA
Source: Rfam by way of RNAcentral